GGGGAAUUUUGGACUAAUGGGCGCAAGCCUGAUCCAGCCAUGCCAGCGUGUNGUGAAGAAGGCCUUCGGGUUGUAAAGCCCUUUUGUUGGGAAAGAAAAGCAGUCGAUUAAUACUUGGUUGUUNUGACGGUACCCAAAGAAUAAGCACCGGCUAACUUCGUGCCAGCAGCCGCGGUAAUACGAAGGGUGCAAGCGUUACUCGGAAUUACUGGGCGUAAAGCGUGCGUAGGUGGUUGUUUAAGUCUGUUGUGAAAGCCCUGGGCUCAACCUGGGAAUUGCANUGGAUACUGGNCGACUAGAGUGUGGUAGAGGGUAGUGGAAUUCCAGGUGUAGCAGUGAAAUGCGUAGAGAUCGGGAGGAACAUCCAUGGCGAAGGCAUCUACCUGGACCAACACUGACACUGAGGCACGAAAG
Molecule: ribosomal RNA, 414 nt
Filed under: gamma proteobacterium SCGC AAA041-M21
Lineage: Bacteria; Pseudomonadati; Pseudomonadota; Gammaproteobacteria
Description: bacterial SSU rRNA
Rfam family: Bacterial small subunit ribosomal RNA
Source: RNAcentral